CGCGUAGGUGGUAGUGCAAGUCUGAUGUGGAAUCUUAGGGCUUAACCCUAAAUUGCAUUGGAAACUGUAUUACUUGAGUCAGUGAGGGGAGGGUAGAAUUCCUGGUGUAGCGGUGAAAUGCGUAGAUAUCAGGAGGAAGGCCGGUGGCGAAGGCGGCCCUCUGGCGCUGAACUGACACUGAGGCGCGAAAGCGUGGGUAGCAAACAGGAUUAGAUACCCUGGUAGUCCACGCCCUAAACGGUGGGUACUAGGUGUAGGGCUCGUAAGGGUUCUGUGCCGAAGCGAAAGCAUUAAGUACCCCGCCUGGGGAGUACGGCCGCAAGGUUGAA
This 329-nucleotide ribosomal RNA is filed under the name uncultured bacterium. RNAcentral's name for it is "bacterial SSU rRNA". It matches the Rfam family "Bacterial small subunit ribosomal RNA", at positions 568 to 898 of the family's 1533-position model. The record is from RNAcentral.